UGGGGAAUAUUGCACAAUGGGGGAAACCCUGAUGCAGCGACGCCGCGUGAGCGAAGAAGUAUUUCGGUAUGUAAAGCUCUAUCAGCAGGGAAGAAAAUGACGGUACCUGACUAAGAAGCACCGGCUAAAUACGUGCCAGCAGCCGCGGUAAUACGUAUGGUGCAAGCGUUAUCCGGAUUUACUGGGUGUAAAGGGAGCGUAGACGGUUGUGUAAGUCUGAUGUGAAAGCCCGGGGCUCAACCCCGGGACUGCAUUGGAAACUAUGUAACUAGAGUGUCGGAGAGGUAAGCGGAAUUCCUAGUGUAGCGGUGAAAUGCGUAGAUAUUAGGAGGAACACCAGUGGCGAAGGCGGCUUACUGGACGAUCACUGACGUUGAGGCUCGAAAGCGUGGGGAGCAAACAGG
RNAcentral lists this ribosomal RNA (404 nucleotides) under Acidobacteriota bacterium. Its description in RNAcentral is "Acidobacteria bacterium partial 16S ribosomal RNA". It matches the Rfam family "Bacterial small subunit ribosomal RNA", at positions 355 to 776 of the family's 1533-position model. The record is from RNAcentral. RNAcentral also lists the same sequence under 2 other names. Lineage: Bacteria; Pseudomonadati; Acidobacteriota.